RNAcentral lists this small RNA (146 nucleotides) under Pongo abelii (Sumatran orangutan). RNAcentral describes it as "Metazoan signal recognition particle RNA (ENSPPYG00000040316.1)". Lineage: Eukaryota; Metazoa; Chordata; Mammalia; Primates; Hominidae. The record is from Rfam by way of RNAcentral.
GCCAGGCAUGGUGGCGCAUGCCUGUAAUCCCAGCUACUUGGGAGGCUGAGGCGGGAGAAUCACUUGAACCCAGGAGGCGGAGUGCAGUGAGUGGAGAUCGCACCACUGCACUCCAGCCUGACAGGCAGAGUGAGACUCCGUCUCAA